GGGAAUCUACCGAGCCCUGCGGAAUAGCUCCGGGAAACUGGAAUUAAUACCGCAUACGCCCUACGGGGGAAAGAUUUAUCGGGGUUUGAUGAGCCCGCGUUGGAUUAGCUAGUUGGUGGGGUAAAGGCCUACCAAGGCGACGAUCCAUAGCUGGUCUGAGAGGAUGAUCAGCCACAUUGGGACUGAGACACGGCCCAAACUCCUACGGGAGGCAGCAGUGGGGAAUAUUGGACAAUGGGCGCAAGCCUGAUCCAGCCAUGCCGCGUGAGUGAUGAAGGCCCUAGGGUUGUAAAGCUCUUUCAACGGUGAAGAUAAUGACGGUAACCGUAGGAGAAGCCCCGGCUAACUUCGUGCCAGCAGCCGCGGUAAUACGAAGGGGGCUAGCGUUGUUCGGAAUUACUGGGCGUAAAGCGCACGUAGGCGGAUAUUUAAGUCAGGGGUGAAAUCCCGGGGCUCAACCUCGGAACUGCCUUUGAUACUGGGUAUCUUGAGUAUGGAAGAGGUAAGUGGAAUUGCGAGU
RNAcentral lists this ribosomal RNA (520 nucleotides) under uncultured bacterium. Its description in RNAcentral is "bacterial SSU rRNA". It matches the Rfam family "Bacterial small subunit ribosomal RNA", at positions 120 to 674 of the family's 1533-position model. The record is from RNAcentral.